This is a non-coding RNA of Drosophila virilis, 1033 nucleotides long. The record is from RefSeq and is a predicted model, not a curated record. Lineage: Eukaryota; Metazoa; Arthropoda; Insecta; Diptera; Drosophilidae.
AAAUAUAUAUAGACUUGUGUUUCUUGUCAAGAACAAAUAUUUGUUCGACUCGUGGACUCGAACCGCUCCUUCUUGGUGUUUGUUAAAGCAAUGCCAAGUCCAAAAGGACUUAUGGAAAAAAGAUGAAGCGAACCUUUAGCUGUUGUACAUCUGCGAUAAGUGUUUCUAUCUGCUUGGGCAUUUAAUCGCCGGCACCCCCAAGGAUAAUAAAGAAAGCUAUAUUUUUGCCAGCUAAUGUAAAACCUGUCGCACAACUCAUAAUAAUUCAGCGGAGAGGGCUCUAGACAAAUCCCAAAUGCUUCAAGCUAGAUGCGUGUCUCUGGCAUUUUCAAAUCAACGCACGGCGACACGCCUUUCACUUUUCCAUUUGCCGCGUGCCAGUCGGUUGACAAGGUUCGAGCUUCAGGCGGGAAUCCCAGCAAUAUCUGCAACUUGAGCUGAGAACUCAACUUUGUGCACAAUAAACGGGCGCACUUGACUGAAUAUGUUAGCGAUAAUCCUUCGGGGGCUCGUAACAUAUACGUAUCUAAAGAGCUCGGGUAAUUGAAGGCGGCUUGGUAAGGCAAGAGGGGGGCGGGGGGUAGAGGGGGAGGUGACAGCAUAUGCAGGAUAUGUGGCAAACGUGUGACCUGUCGCAUAUUUAUGUCAAAGUUGCGAACGGCGCUCAAAUGUCCGCAUCUCGAGCUUUUGCUCUAGCCUCCGUCCUCUUUGAGCCAAGGCAAUAUCCUUCCUGUGUUUAAUAAACUCCGCGACGAGUCGAGGCGAUGCUGCCUGCCACAAAAAAAAACUAAAGGUGGUCUCGACGACAAUGUGCCCUGUAUUCGGCGCUCAGCGGCUGUUCUUUCCAUAACAGAAAUUGCUUUCUUCAAUAACUUCGGUCUUUGUUGUCCGAUCUGCUUGCAAUUUUGCGGUCACCUUAGCCCAAGACUAAACUGAAUAUUUGAGAGUUGCGUUAAAACACUUGUUUGAAAUUUUGAUCGAUAUUUGGCGAUAAUUAUAUAAAUUAAAGUUAUAAAUGUGUAAAUGUGCUAAA